This 592-nucleotide ribosomal RNA is filed under the name uncultured fungus. RNAcentral's name for it is "eukaryotic LSU rRNA". It matches the Rfam family "Eukaryotic large subunit ribosomal RNA", at positions 42 to 648 of the family's 3401-position model. The record is from RNAcentral. Lineage: Eukaryota; Fungi.
UCAAUUAAGCGGAGGAAAAGAAACCAACAGGGAUUACCUCAGUAACGGCGAGUGAAGCGGUAACAGCUCAAAUUUGAAAUCUGGGUCUUUCAGGCUCCGAGUUGUAAUUUGUAGAAGAUGCUUCGGGUGCGGCUCCGGUCUAAGUUCCUUGGAACAGGACGUCAUAGAGGGUGAGAAUCCCGUAUGUGAUCGGUUGCUUGCGCCCAUGUGAAGCUCUUUCGACGAGUCGAGUUGUUUGGGAAUGCAGCUCAAAAUGGGUGGUAAAUUUCAUCUAAAGCUAAAUAUUGGCCAGAGACCGAUAGCGCACAAGUAGAGUGAUCGAAAGAUGAAAAGCACUUUGGAAAGAGAGUUAAACAGUACGUGAAAUUGUUGAAAGGGAAGCGCUUGCAACCAGACUUGCGCGUUGCCGAUCAUCCGGGGUUCUCCCAGGUGCACUCGGCCUCGCUCAGGCCAGCAUCGGUUUUGGUGGUGGGAUAAAGGCCUUGGGAAUGUAGCUCCUUUCGGGGAGUGUUAUAGCCCUCGGUGCAAUGCCGCCUACCGGGACCGAGGACCGCGCUUCGGCUAGGAUGCUGGCGUAAUGGUUGUAAGCGAC